This is a long non-coding RNA of Tachyglossus aculeatus (Australian echidna), 362 nucleotides long. RefSeq lists it as uncharacterized. The transcript is spliced from 3 exons. Lineage: Eukaryota; Metazoa; Chordata; Mammalia; Monotremata; Tachyglossidae. The record is from RefSeq and is a predicted model, not a curated record.
GGUCAGGACUACAAGUAGAGAAUUUAAUUUUCUACGCCUCCCGAGAGGGCGGGAAUGUUGGAAGAUUGUGUGUCCGCAUGCUGACAUCUGCUGGGACAACCAGGGACUGAAUAAACUGUCACAACUCUGCCUCAGUCACAUCGCAUGUCCGCAGCCACCUCCGGCCUCUCGGAACUUCUCAAGGGCUGGCAGCUGGAGGCCUUCCCCUGAAGGGCAGAACGCACUGUAAUUAUGGCAGGAGUAAUUGGAAAAAAAAAAUAGCCAACAGUCAUCGCUGGUCAAAAGGCUCCAGGGCGGCGUGGCUUGUGGAAAGAGGGAGUCAGAGGUCAGGAGUUCUAAUUCCGGCUCUGCCGCUCGUCAGC